GGUUGACCUCGGAUCAGGUAGGAAUACCCGCUGAACUUAAGCAUAUCAAUAAGGCGGAGG
Molecule: ribosomal RNA, 60 nt
Filed under: Colletotrichum truncatum
Lineage: Eukaryota; Fungi; Ascomycota; Sordariomycetes; Glomerellales; Glomerellaceae
Description: partial large subunit ribosomal RNA
Source: RNAcentral